Molecule: small nuclear RNA, 68 nt
Filed under: Crocodylus porosus (Australian saltwater crocodile)
Lineage: Eukaryota; Metazoa; Chordata; Crocodylia; Crocodylidae
Description: U5 spliceosomal RNA (ENSCPRG00005000490.1)
Rfam family: U5 spliceosomal RNA
About the family: U5 RNA is a component of both types of known spliceosome. The precise function of this molecule is unknown, though it is known that the 5' loop is required for splice site selection and p220 binding, and that both the 3' stem-loop and the Sm site are important for Sm protein binding and cap methylation.
Source: Rfam by way of RNAcentral
UGGUUUCUCUUCAGAUCACAGAAGUUUUUUGCCUUUUACUAAAGAUUUCCGUGGAGAGGAACAUUAAA